ACGCCAUGAACAAUUACAACUACUAUUUCUAGUCAUAGUUCCAUUAUCUUAAUUGUGACUUUUAUUGCCACUGUUCAUCACACCCCAAACCAGCACUAUCAGACACCGCCUACGAAGAGCCCUGGGUCUGUCUAAGGUUUCUCACUAAAAGGGAGUUUUUCCUCGAUACUGUUGCACUAAAUGCUUGCUCUAGGGGAAUUACUGAAAUUGUUGUUUUUUGUAAAUUAUAGAGUGUGGUUUAGACCUACUCUGCAUCUAAAGUGUCUUGUGAUAACUCUUAUGAUUUGAUGCUAUACAAUUGAAUUGAAUU
This is a long non-coding RNA of Etheostoma cragini (Arkansas darter), 310 nucleotides long. RefSeq lists it as uncharacterized. The transcript is spliced from 2 exons. Lineage: Eukaryota; Metazoa; Chordata; Actinopteri; Perciformes; Percidae. The record is from RefSeq and is a predicted model, not a curated record.